This 482-nucleotide ribosomal RNA is filed under the name uncultured bacterium. RNAcentral describes it as "bacterial SSU rRNA". It matches the Rfam family "Bacterial small subunit ribosomal RNA", at positions 30 to 506 of the family's 1533-position model. The record is from RNAcentral.
UUGAACGCUGGCGGAAUGCUUUACACAUGCAAGUCGAACGGCAGCACGGGGGCAACCCUGGUGGCGAGUGGCGAACGGGUGAGUAAUGUAUCGGAACGUACCCAGUCGUGGGGGAUAACUAUCCGAAAGGAUAGCUAAUACCGCAUACGUCCUGAGGGAGAAAGCGGGGGAUCGCAAGACCUCGCGCGAUUGGAGCGGCCGAUAUCGGAUUAGCUAGUUGGUGAGGUAAAGGCUCACCAAGGCGACGAUCCGUAGCGGGUCUGAGAGGACGAUCCGCCACACUGGAACUGAGACACGGUCCAGACUCCUACGGGAGGCAGCAGUGGGGAAUUUUGGACAAUGGGGGAAACCCUGAUCCAGCCAUUCCGCGUGAGUGAAGAAGGCCUUCGGGUUGUAAAGCUCUUUCAGCAGGAACGAAACGGUCGGCUUUAAUAAAGUCGGCUAAUGACGGUACCUGCAGAAGAAGCACCGGCUAACUACGU